This 482-nucleotide ribosomal RNA is filed under the name uncultured bacterium. RNAcentral's name for it is "partial 16S ribosomal RNA". It matches the Rfam family "Bacterial small subunit ribosomal RNA", at positions 30 to 507 of the family's 1533-position model. The record is from RNAcentral.
AUUGAACGCUGGCGGCAUGCCUUACACAUGCAAGUCGAACGGUAAUGGGCCUUCGGGUGCCGACGAGUGGCGAACGGGUGAGUAAUACAUCGGAACGUGCCCGAUCGUGGGGGAUAACGAGGCGAAAGCUUUGCUAAUACCGCAUACGAUCUACGGAUGAAAGCAGGGGACCGCAAGGCCUUGCGCGGACGGAGCGGCCGAUGGCAGAUUAGGUAGUUGGUGGGAUAAAAGCUUACCAAGCCGACGAUCUGUAGCUGGUCUGAGAGGAUGAUCAGCCACACUGGGACUGAGACACGGCCCAGACUCCUGCGGGAGGCAGCAGUGGGGAAUUUUGGACAAUGGGCGCAAGCCUGAUCCAGCCAUGCCGCGUGCAGGAUGAAGGCCUUCGGGUUGUAAACUGCUUUUGUACGGAACGAAAAGCCUUCUUUUAAUACAGGAGGGUCAUGACGGUACCGUAAGAAUAAGCACCGGCUAACUACGUG